Molecule: ribosomal RNA, 385 nt
Filed under: uncultured bacterium
Lineage: Bacteria
Description: bacterial SSU rRNA
Rfam family: Bacterial small subunit ribosomal RNA
Source: RNAcentral
GACGAACGCUGGCGGCGUGCUUAACACAUGCAAGUCGAGCGGUAAGGCCCCUUCGGGGGUACACGAGCGGCGAACGGGUGAGUAACACGUGGGUGACCUGCCCUCAGCUCUGGGAUAAGCCUGGGAAACUGGGUCUAAUACUGGAUAUGACUCCACGGUGCAUGUCGUGGGGUGGAAAGCCUUGUGCGGCUGAGGAUGGGCCCGCGGCCUAUCAGCUUGUUGGUGGGGUGANGGCCUACCAAGGCGACGACGGGUAGCCGGCCUGAGAGGGCGACCGGCCACACUGGGACUGAGACACGGCCCAGACUCCUACGGGAGGCAGCAGUGGGGAAUCUUGCGCAAUGGGCGAAAGCCUGACGCAGCGACGCCGCGUGAGGGAUGACGG